UAGGGAAUCUUCGGCAAUGGGGGGAACCCUGACCGAGCAACGCCGCGUGAGUGAAGAAGGUUUUCGGAUCGUAAAGCUCUGUUGUUAAGGAAGAACGAGUGUGAGAAUGGAAAGUUCAUACUGUGACGGUACUUAACCAGAAAGGGACGGCUAACUACGUGCCAGCAGCCGCGGUAAUACGUAGGUCCCGAGCGUUGUCCGGAUUUAUUGGGCGUAAAGCGAGCGCAGGCGGUUAGAUAAGUCUGAAGUUAAAGGCAGUGGCUCAACCAUUGUAGGCUUUGGAAACUGUUUAACUUGAGUGCAGAAGGGGAGAGUGGAAUUCCAUGUGUAGCGGUGAAAUGCGUAGAUAUAUGGAGGAACACCGGUGGCGAAAGCGGCUCUCUGGUCUGUAACUGACGCUGAGGCUAGAAAGCGUGGGGAGCGAACAGG
RNAcentral lists this ribosomal RNA (429 nucleotides) under Bacteroidota bacterium. RNAcentral describes it as "Bacteroidetes bacterium partial 16S ribosomal RNA". It matches the Rfam family "Bacterial small subunit ribosomal RNA", at positions 355 to 776 of the family's 1533-position model. Lineage: Bacteria; Pseudomonadati; Bacteroidota. The record is from RNAcentral.